UGAACAUCACUGAAGACUUCAUGGAAAGAAAACAUGUAAAGUGAAGCCAGUUUUUGGUUUUGUCUUCUUGACUGCAACAUCUGGGCUGAUAUCUUGCUAAUAUCACGUUACACCCACCUGCCCCAGUCCUGGAUUGGGAUGCGUGAACAUUCUGUUUUUGGCUUCUGUGGGAGAGCUAUUAAGGUGAAUAUUGAAGCUUAAAUGGAAUUUGGAAAUAAGAGGAAUAUUUCAUUUUGAGCAAGGAU
Molecule: long non-coding RNA, 245 nt
Filed under: Phascolarctos cinereus (koala)
Lineage: Eukaryota; Metazoa; Chordata; Mammalia; Diprotodontia; Phascolarctidae
Description: lncRNA (ENSPCIG00000032407.1)
Source: RNAcentral